UCGAGCGAAGCUUUUCAGUAGUUUACUACAGAAAAUGACUGAGCGGCGAACGGGUGAGUAACGCGUGAGCAACCUACCUUAGUUACUGGGAUAGCCCGAGGAAACUCGGAUUAAUACCGGAUAUUCUUAUUUAAUCACAUGAUUUUUUAAGGAAAGGUCAGCCGAACUAAGAUGGGCUCGCGUUCUAUCAGCUAGUUGGUAGGGUAAUGGCCUACCAAGGCUACGACGGAUAGCUGGUCUGAGAGGACGAUCAGCCACACUGGGACUGAGACACGGCCCAGACUCCUACGGGAGGCUGCAGCAGGGAAUAUUGCGCAAUGAGCGAAAGCUUGACGCAGCGACACCGCGUGUGGGAUGAUGGAUCUAGGUUUGUAAACCACUUUCAGGAGGGAAGAAAAUGACGGUACCUCCACAAGAAGCCCCGGCCAACUACGUGCCAGCAGCCGCGGUAAUACGUAGGGGGCGAGCGUUGUCCGGAUUUAUUGGGCGUAAAGAGCUCGUAGGCGGUUCAACAAGUCGGUCGUGAAAGUUCAGGGCUCAACCCUGAAAUGUCGAUCGAUACUGUUGUGACUAGGAUACGGUAGAGGUGAGUGGAAUUCCGAGUGUAGCGGUGAAAUGCGUAGAUAUUCGGAGGAACACCAAUUGCGAAGGCAGCUCACUGGGCCGCUAUCGACGCUGAGGAGCGAAAGCUAGGGGAGCAAACAGGAUUAGAUACCCUGGUAGUCCUAGCUGUAAACGAUGGAUACUAGACGUAGGAAUUGGUUUAACGAUUUCUGUGUCGUAGCUAACGCGUUAAGUAUCCCGCCUGGGGAGUACGGUCGCAAGACUAAAACUCAAAGGAAUUGACGGGACCCCGCACAAGCGGCGGAGCAUGCGGCUUAAUUCGAUGAUACCCGUAGAACCUUACCUGGACUUGACAUAUAGGGAAAAGUUAUAGAAAUAUA
RNAcentral lists this ribosomal RNA (944 nucleotides) under uncultured marine bacterium. RNAcentral describes it as "bacterial SSU rRNA". It matches the Rfam family "Bacterial small subunit ribosomal RNA", at positions 62 to 1010 of the family's 1533-position model. The record is from RNAcentral.